Molecule: ribosomal RNA, 505 nt
Filed under: uncultured bacterium
Lineage: Bacteria
Description: bacterial SSU rRNA
Rfam family: Bacterial small subunit ribosomal RNA
Source: RNAcentral
CAACCCUUGACAUCCUCUGACCGCCCGGGAGACCGGGUUUUAUCGUAAGAUACAGAGUGACAGGUGCUGCAUGGCUGUCGUCAGCUCGUGUCGUGAGAUGUUCGGUUAAGUCCGGCAACGAGCGCAACCCACAUCCUUAGUUGCCAUCAUUUAGUUGGGCACUCUAGGGAAACUGCCCGUGAUAAGCGGGAGGAAGGUGUGGAUGACGUCAAGUCCUCAUGGCCCUUACGGGUUGGGCUACACACGUGCUACAAUGGCAUCUACAGUGAGUUAAUCUCCAAAAGAUGUCUCAGUUCGGAUUGGGGUCUGCAACUCGACCCCAUGAAGUCGGAAUCGCUAGUAAUCGCGUAACAGCAUGACGCGGUGAAUACGUUCCCGGGCCUUGUACACACCGCCCGUCACACCAUGGGAGUUGGUUCUACCCGACGGCCGUGCGCUAACCCGUAAGGGAGGCAGCGGACCACGGUAGGAUCAGCGACUGGGGUGAAGUCGUAACAAGGUAACC